AGUGAACGCUGGCGGUAGGCCUAACACAUGCAAGUCGAACGGCAGCACAGUAAGAGCUUGCUCUUACGGGUGGCGAGUGGCGGACGGGUGAGGAAUACAUCGGAAUCUACUUUUUCGUGGGGGAUAACGUAGGGAAACUUACGCUAAUACCGCAUACGACCUACGGGUGAAAGCAGGGGAUCUUCGGACCUUGCGCGAUUGAAUGAGCCGAUGUCGGAUUAGCUAGUUGGCGGGGUAAAGGCCCACCAAGGCGACGAUCCGUAGCUGGUCUGAGAGGAUGUCGCGCACCACGGAAAUGGAAAACGGGCCCAGCCCCUACGGGGGGGAGGAGUGGGGGAUUGUGGAAAAAGGGGCGCAGUCUUGAUCCACCAAUCCCGGGGGGAGGAAGAAGCCUUGGGGUUGUAAAGCCCUUUUUGUGGGAAAAAAAAAGCAGCAGUUAAAUACCCCGUUGUCCUGAGGGACCCAAAAAAAAAAGCACCGCCUAACUUGGUG
Molecule: ribosomal RNA, 492 nt
Filed under: uncultured bacterium
Lineage: Bacteria
Description: partial 16S ribosomal RNA
Rfam family: Bacterial small subunit ribosomal RNA
Source: RNAcentral